This 305-nucleotide ribosomal RNA is filed under the name uncultured bacterium. RNAcentral's name for it is "bacterial SSU rRNA". It matches the Rfam family "Bacterial small subunit ribosomal RNA", at positions 334 to 637 of the family's 1533-position model. The record is from RNAcentral.
UAUUCCUACGGGAGGCAGCAGUGAGGAAUAUUGGUCAAUGGCCGCAGGGCUGAACCAGCCAAGUCGCGUGAGGGACGACGGUCCUAUGGAUUGUAAACCUCUUUUGUCGGGGAACAAAGGCGCCCACGGGUGGGCGGAUGAGUGUACCCGAAGAAAAAGCAUCGGCUAACUCCGUGCCAGCAGCCGCGGUAAUACGGAGGAUGCGAGCGUUAUCCGGAUUUAUUGGGUUUAAAGGGUGCGUAGGCGGACAGUCAAGUCAGCGGUAAAAAUGCGGUGCUCAACGCCGUACAGCCGUUGAAACUGGC